Molecule: long non-coding RNA, 1140 nt
Organism: Helianthus annuus (common sunflower)
Lineage: Eukaryota; Viridiplantae; Streptophyta; Magnoliopsida; Asterales; Asteraceae
Exons: 2
Source: RefSeq, a predicted model, not a curated record
GCCCAUCCAAACAUGCCCUUAAAACCAGACCUCUCUCCCUCUCAUAUCUUCAAAACCUGGACUCUCUUUCUCAUUUAUUUUCAAACCCUAAUAACCCCCUGAGCAACCGAUACACCUUUCUCUCCCCCUCUAUUUUCCUUUCCGGCGGCCGGAGUUGGACUCCGACAACUAUGACCGCUUUUCUUUGCUCCGACGUGACACUCACACCAUACCACUACCCUCCUUCUUCACCUUAAGUCCACCACAAACGCCUAUGUUUUCAAUGCUGUUCUUACCCCCCGUCCGUUUUCCGAUGAUGUCGUAGAUGAUGUUCUCUCUCUCUCUCUCUCUCAUCUCUCAUCAGAUUUGCUAUCUCUCUCUCAUCUCUCAUCAAAUCAAUUUUGACGGCGACGGGGGGUGUGGUGAUGGGUUUCACGGCGACGGUGGUGAAAGGUGGGUUGUGGUGGUGGGUUUGACGGUGACGAUGACGGUGGGGUGAAGGGCGGUUGUGGUGGUAGGCGGAUAACCCAACUUUGCCUCUUAUGAAGCAAUCUUGAAGGUUCUGUUAUCACUUCACUCAUCACUUUCAGAUUUUAGUUGUUUCUGCAAGUUUUUUUGACUGUUAUGAAGCAAUCUUGAAGGUUCUGUUAUCUGUCUUUAUUAUUCAUUGGUUCAUUGUUGAUUUACUCUAAUUUAUUUUAUUAUCUUUAUUUGUGGUUGGGCGGAUAAACCAACUUUGUCUGAGUUUCUUUAUUCAUCUAUGACUUUUAGGGUUCUGUAAUAUUUGGUCAAAGCCAUGUGAAAUUUAAUUUCUUUUAGAGGGUUGUUGGUGAUAUACCUACAAAAGGGGUAGCUUUGAUUUAGGUGGGAAUUCUAUCAGUAUGCUUCAGGGGGAUCCCGUGGUGCCCGUUUGGUGUCGGUGGUGCCUCGUGGUGCCCGCUUGGUACCGGUGGUGCCCCGUGGUGCCGAUCGAAAAGUUAUCGAAUCUGCAUGUGGUUGUCUGCUACUUUUUAGAGGAUCAGGGAAUGAAAAUUUGUGUCGUUUGGCAGUGAUAGUUCGAAACAAUUUUUCCGACAAAUUGAUAACGAUGGCGUGACAAGGAUAGUGGAGGGUAGGUUUUUGAACCUGCAACCCCACUUUGCAGCCUUGAUUAUUUGAAAA